AUUAAACUGAAGAGUUUGAUCCUGGCUCAGAUUGAACGCUGGCGGUAUGCUUAACACAUGCAAGUCGAA
Molecule: ribosomal RNA, 69 nt
Filed under: Gammaproteobacteria bacterium
Lineage: Bacteria; Pseudomonadati; Pseudomonadota; Gammaproteobacteria
Description: partial 16S ribosomal RNA
Rfam family: Bacterial small subunit ribosomal RNA
Source: RNAcentral